RNAcentral lists this long non-coding RNA (412 nucleotides) under Gossypium barbadense (sea-island cotton). RNAcentral's name for it is "long non-coding RNA (GBAR_LNC018527)". The record is from RNAcentral. Lineage: Eukaryota; Viridiplantae; Streptophyta; Magnoliopsida; Malvales; Malvaceae.
GUUUCUUAGGUGGAGUCUCUAAACCAAACGUGUCUUCGACGAGUUAGAUUACUAUUGGGUUGUUGUUUUCUUGAAGUUAAGGCAUCAAUUGGAGGUUUUAGGUCAAAAUUCUUCGUUACACUUUGAUAUGGGUUAUAUUGAUUUUUGCGAAUUGGGUUUGGUAAAUCAUCUCAAUUGGUGUCUAAUUGAUGUGUUUAGGUUCUGGAAGUCUCGUGGCUGAUUUUGCAUAAAAAAACAGUCAAGGUGUGUAAUGAAAACCCUAGAAAACAACUGACGGCGAAAGCCAAAAAUUAGGUUGUCAACACCACACGGACGUGUGUUAGGCUGUGUGGUAGGUCGUAUGUUUAAGCCACACAGUUUGGGCCAAUUGAGCCAUGUGGACUACACGAGCAUGUGUGAGGCCAUGUGCCAG